RNAcentral lists this ribosomal RNA (198 nucleotides) under uncultured bacterium. RNAcentral describes it as "partial 16S ribosomal RNA". It matches the Rfam family "Bacterial small subunit ribosomal RNA", at positions 328 to 539 of the family's 1533-position model. The record is from RNAcentral.
ACGCUCGACACCUACGGGAGACAGCAGUCGGGAAUAUUGCGCAAUGGAGGAAACUCUGACGCAGUGACGCCGCGUAUAGGAAGAAGGUUUUCGGAUUGUAAACUAUUGUCGUUAGGGAAGAUACAAGACAGUACCUAAGGAGGAAGCACCGGCUAACUAUGUGCCACAGCCGCGGUAAUCUGAGCGGGCUGGCAAGGC